This 403-nucleotide ribosomal RNA is filed under the name uncultured bacterium. RNAcentral describes it as "partial 16S ribosomal RNA". It matches the Rfam family "Bacterial small subunit ribosomal RNA", at positions 28 to 526 of the family's 1533-position model. The record is from RNAcentral.
GACGAACGCUGGCGGCGUGCCUAAUACAUGCAAGUCGAACGCAGUGGGGACGGGUGAGUAACACGUGGGUAACCUCCCAUCAGAGGGGAUAACACUUGGAAACAGGUGCUAAACCGAUACUGAUGGAUGGACCCGGGGUGCAUUAGCUAGUUGGUGAGGUAACGGCUCACAAAGGCCACGAUGCAUAGCCGACCUGAGAGGGUGAGCGGCCAAACUGGGACAGAGACACGGCCCAAAGUCCCACGGGAGGAAGCGGUGGGGAAGCGUGGGCAAUGGACGAAAGUCUGACCGAGCAACGCCGCGUGAGUGAAGAAGGUUUUCGGGGCGUAAGACUCUGUUGUUAGAGAAGCGGUAUCUAACCAGAAAGCCACGGCUAACUACGUGCCAGCAGCCGCGGUAAUAC